UUGCACGCUGGCGGCAGGCCUAACCCCUGCAAGUCGAGCGGGUGAAGGGAGCUUGCUCCUGGAUUCAGCGGCGGACGGGUGAGUAAUGCCUAGGAAUCUGCCUGGUAGUGGGGGAUAACGUCCGGAAACGGGCGCUAAUACCGCAUACGUCCUGAGGGAGAAAGUGGGGGAUCUUCGGACCUCACGCUAUCAGAUGAGCCUAGGUCGGAUUAGCUAGUUGGUGGGGUAAAGGCCUACCAAGGCGACGAUCCGUAACUGGUCUGAGAGGAUGAUCAGUCACACUGGAACUGAGACACGGUCCAGACUCCUACGGGAGGCAGCAGUGGGGAAUAUUGGACAAUGGGCGAAAGCCUGAUCCAGCCAUGCCGCGUGUGUGAAGAAGGUCUUCGGAUUGUAAAGCACUUUAAGUUGGGAGGAAGGGCAGUAAGUUAAUACCUUGCUGUUUUGACGUUACCAACAGAAUAAGCACCGGCUAACUUCGUG
RNAcentral lists this ribosomal RNA (483 nucleotides) under uncultured bacterium. Its description in RNAcentral is "partial 16S ribosomal RNA". It matches the Rfam family "Bacterial small subunit ribosomal RNA", at positions 30 to 507 of the family's 1533-position model. The record is from RNAcentral.